RNAcentral lists this transfer RNA (69 nucleotides) under Macropus fuliginosus (western gray kangaroo). RNAcentral's name for it is "tRNA-Tyr". It matches the Rfam family "tRNA". From Rfam's summary of the family: Transfer RNA (tRNA) molecules are approximately 80 nucleotides in length. The record is from RNAcentral. Lineage: Eukaryota; Metazoa; Chordata; Mammalia; Diprotodontia; Macropodidae.
AGGUAAAAUGGCUGAGGUAAGCAUUGAACUGUAAAUUCAAAGACAGAGGUUAACAAUCUCUUUUUACCA